RNAcentral lists this ribosomal RNA (131 nucleotides) under Mesocricetus auratus (golden hamster). The record is from RNAcentral. Lineage: Eukaryota; Metazoa; Chordata; Mammalia; Rodentia; Cricetidae.
GUCUACGGCCAUACAAACCUGAACGUGCCCAUUCUCGUCUGAUCUCAGAUGCUAAGCAGGGUAGGGCCUGAUUAGUACUUGGAUGGGAGGUAUGUUUCUUAUAUGCAGCAGAAGGAUGGAUACUGUCCUCG